RNAcentral lists this ribosomal RNA (498 nucleotides) under uncultured bacterium. RNAcentral's name for it is "partial 16S ribosomal RNA". It matches the Rfam family "Bacterial small subunit ribosomal RNA", at positions 28 to 507 of the family's 1533-position model. The record is from RNAcentral.
GACGAACGCUGGCGGCGUGCCUAAUACAUGCAAGUCGAGCGGACGGAUGGGAGCUUGCUCCCAGACCGUCAGCGGCGGACGGGUGAGUAACACGUGGGCAACCUGCCUGUAAGACUGGGAUAACUCCGGGAAACCGGGGCUAAUACCGGAUAACUCUUUCCCUCACAUGAGGGAAAGCUGAAAGAUGGCAUCUCGCUAUCACUUACAGAUGGGCCCGCGGCGCAUUAGCUAGUUGGUGAGGUAACGGCUCACCAAGGCGACGAUGCGUAGCCGACCUGAGAGGGUGAUCGGCCACACUGGGACUGAGACACGGCCCAGACUCCUACGGGAGGCAGCAGUAGGGAAUCUUCCGCAAUGGACGAAAGUCUGACGGAGCAACGCCGCGUGAGUGAUGAAGGUUUUCGGAUCGUAAAACUCUGUUGUCAGGGAAGAACAAGUACCGGAGUAACUGCCGGUACCUUGACGGUACCUGACCAGAAAGCCACGGCUAACUACAUG